RNAcentral lists this transfer RNA (75 nucleotides) under Terrilactibacillus tamarindi. RNAcentral's name for it is "Terrilactibacillus sp. BCM23-1 tRNA-Gln". It matches the Rfam family "tRNA". Rfam says of the family: Transfer RNA (tRNA) molecules are approximately 80 nucleotides in length. The record is from RNAcentral. Lineage: Bacteria; Bacillati; Bacillota; Bacilli; Caryophanales; Bacillaceae.
UGCCCCAUAGCCAAGCGGUAAGGCAAUGGUUUUUGGUUCCAUCAUGCGUUGGUUCGAAUCCAGCUGGGGCAGCCA